RNAcentral lists this ribosomal RNA (453 nucleotides) under uncultured bacterium. RNAcentral's name for it is "bacterial SSU rRNA". It matches the Rfam family "Bacterial small subunit ribosomal RNA", at positions 28 to 524 of the family's 1533-position model. The record is from RNAcentral.
GAUAAACGCUGGCGGCGUGCCUAACACAUGCAAGUCGAACGAUCCCGCAAGGGAGAGUGGCGGAAGGGUGAGUAACACGUGGGAAUCUACCUCCUCGCAGGGAACAACCUCUCGAAAGAGAGGCUAAUACCCAAAAGGGUCAGUAAUGAUCAGAGUCGAAAGGCGUGAGGAGAGGAGCCCGCGGCCCAUCAGCUAGUUGGUGAGGUAAUGGCUUACCAAGGCUACGACGGGUAGGGGAUCUGAGAGGAUGUCCCCCACACUGGAACUGAAACACGGUCCAGACGCCUACGGGUGGCAGCAGUGAGGAAUAUUGGACAAUGGGCGAAAGCCCGACCAGCAACGCCGCGUGGAGGAUGAAGGCCUUCGGGUCGUAAACUUCUUUAGAGGGAGACGAGAAAGGACGGUAUCCCUAGAAUAAGCGACGGCAAACUACGUGCCAGCAGCCGCGGUAAU